CAGCGCCUCAAGUGGUCAGGAUGAUUAUUGGGCCUAAAGCAUCCGUAGCCGGCUCUGUAAGUUUUCGGUUAAAUCUGUACGCUCAACGUACAGGCUGCCGGGAAUACUGCAGAGCUAGGGAGUGGGAGAGGUAGACGGUACUCGGUAGGAAGGGGUAAAAUCCUUUGAUCUAUUGAUGACCACCUGUGGCGAAGGCGGUCUACCAGAACACGUCCGACGGUGAGGGAUGAAAGCUGGGGGAGCAAACCGGAUUAGAUACCCGAGUAGUCC
This 270-nucleotide ribosomal RNA is filed under the name uncultured archaeon. RNAcentral's name for it is "partial 16S ribosomal RNA". It matches the Rfam family "Archaeal small subunit ribosomal RNA", at positions 477 to 747 of the family's 1478-position model. The record is from RNAcentral.